Molecule: ribosomal RNA, 434 nt
Filed under: uncultured Lachnospiraceae bacterium
Lineage: Bacteria; Bacillati; Bacillota; Clostridia; Lachnospirales; Lachnospiraceae
Description: partial 16S ribosomal RNA
Rfam family: Bacterial small subunit ribosomal RNA
Source: RNAcentral
ACGGAAGGCAGCAGUGGGGAAUAUUGCACAAUGGGGGAGACCCUGAUGUAGCGACGCCGCGUGAGUGAUGAAGUAUUUCGGUAUGUAAAGCUCUAUCAGCAGGGAAGAUAAUGACGGUACCUGACUAAGAAGCACCGGCUAAAUACGUGCCAGCAGCCGCGGUAAUACGUAUGGUGCAAGCGUUAUCCGGAUUUACUGGGUGUAAAGGGUGCGUAGGUGGUAUGGCAAGUCAGAAGUGAAAUGUAGGGGCUCAACCCCUAAACUGCUUUUGAAACUGUCAAACUAGAGUGCAGGAGAGGAAAGCGGAAUUCCUAGUGUAGCGGUGAAAUGCGUAGAUAUUAGGAGGAACACCAGUGGCGAAGGCGGCUUUCUGGACUGUAACUGACACUGAGGCACGAAAGCGUGGGGAGCAAACAGGAUUAGAUACCCUGGUA